This 253-nucleotide ribosomal RNA is filed under the name uncultured bacterium. Its description in RNAcentral is "partial 16S ribosomal RNA". It matches the Rfam family "Bacterial small subunit ribosomal RNA", at positions 524 to 776 of the family's 1533-position model. The record is from RNAcentral.
UACAGAGGGUGCAAACGUUGCUCGGAAUCACUGGGCGUAAAGGGCGUGUAGGCGGGAAUGUAAGUCGGGCGUGAAAUCCCCAGGCUCAACCUGGGAACUGCACUCGAAACUGCGUUUCUUGAGUAUCGGAGAGGAAAGCGGAAUACCUGGUGUAGAGGUGAAAUUCGUAGAUAUCAGGUGGAACACCAGUGGCGAAGGCGGCUUUCUGGACGAUUACUGACGCUGAGACGCGAAAGCGUGGGGAGCAAACAGG